This 468-nucleotide ribosomal RNA is filed under the name uncultured bacterium. RNAcentral's name for it is "partial 16S ribosomal RNA". It matches the Rfam family "Bacterial small subunit ribosomal RNA", at positions 28 to 507 of the family's 1533-position model. The record is from RNAcentral.
GACGAACGCUGGCGGCGUGCUUAACACAUGCAAGUCGAACGGAAAGGCCCUGCUUUUGUGGGGCGCUCGAGUGGCGAACGGGUGAGUAACACGCGUGUAACCUGCCCUUGACUUUGGGAUAACUUCAGGGAACUGGGGCUAAUACCGGAUAGGAGCUCCUGCUGCAUGGUGGGGGUUGGAAAGAUUCGGCGGUUGGGGAUGGACUGGCGGCUUAUCAGCUUGUUGGUGGGGUAGUGGCUUACCAAGGCUUCGACGGAUAGCCCGCCUGAGAGGGUGAACGGCCACAAUGGGACUGAGAGACGGACCAGACUGCUACGGGAGGCAGCAGUGGGGAAUAUUGCGCAAUAGGCGGGAGCCUGAUGCAGCGACGCCGCGUGCGGGAUGACGGGCUUCGAGUUGUAAACAGAUGUCGCCUGUAACGAAGCGUGAGUGACGGUAAUGGGUAAAAAAGCACCGGCUAACUACGUG